RNAcentral lists this ribosomal RNA (820 nucleotides) under Bizionia sp. D58-C09. RNAcentral's name for it is "bacterial SSU rRNA". It matches the Rfam family "Bacterial small subunit ribosomal RNA", at positions 30 to 861 of the family's 1533-position model. Lineage: Bacteria; Pseudomonadati; Bacteroidota; Flavobacteriia; Flavobacteriales; Flavobacteriaceae. The record is from RNAcentral.
GUAACUCAGCCGGCAGGCUUAACACAUGCAAGUCGAGGGGUAACGGGGUGCUUGCACCGCCGACGACCGGCGCACGGGUGAGUAACGCGUAUACAAUCUGCCUUGUACUGAGGGAUAGCCCAGAGAAAUUUGGAUUAAUACCUCAUAGUAUAUGGCUCUCUCAUGAGGAUCAUAUUAAAGGUUACGGUACAAGAUGAGUAUGCGUUCUAUUAGCUAGAUGGUAAGGUAACGGCUUACCAUGGCUACGAUAGAUAGGGGCCCUGAGAGGGGGAUCCCCCACACUGGUACUGAGACACGGACCAGACUCCUACGGGAGGCAGCAGUGAGGAAUAUUGGACAAUGGGCGAGAGCCUGAUCCAGCCAUGCCGCGUGCAGGAUGACGGCCCUAUGGGUUGUAAACUGCUUUUAUACAGGAAGAAACACCCCGACGUGUCGGGACUUGACGGUACUGUAAGAAUAAGGAUCGGCUAACUCCGUGCCAGCAGCCGCGGUAAUACGGAGGAUCCAAGCGUUAUCCGGAAUCAUUGGGUUUAAAGGGUCCGUAGGUGGACAAUUAAGUCAGAGGUGAAAUCCUGCAGCUCAACUGUAGAAUUGCCUUUGAUACUGGUUGUCUUGAGUUAUUAUGAAGUAGUUAGAAUAUGUAGUGUAGCGGUGAAAUGCAUAGAUAUUACAUAGAAUACCAUUGGCGAAGGCAGAUUACUAUUAUUCAACUGACACUGAUGGACGAAAGCGUGGGAGCGAACAGGAAUAGAUACCUGGUAGUCACGCCGUAACGAUGGUACUGUGUCGAUUCGGUGAGGACUAGCGAAGUAUAGACCCC